AACGAACGUUGGCGGCGUGGAUUAGGCAUGCAAGUCGUACGCGAAAGAGGGAGCAAUCCCUUGAGUAAAGUGGCGAACGGGUGAGUAACGCGUAGGAAACCUGCCUUCGAGAUGGGGAUAACACUCCUAACGGGGUGCUAAUACCGAAUGACACUGCGGGAUCGCAUGGUUCUGCAGUCAAAGGUGGCCUCUGCUUGCAAGCUACCACUCGGAGAUGGUCCUGCGUCCCAUUAGCUAGUUGGCGGGGUAAUGGCCCACCAAGGCGACGAUGGGUAGCCGAUCUGAGAGGAUGACCGGCCACACUGGGGCUGAGAUACGGCCCAGACUCCUACGGGAGGCAGCAGUCGAGAGGCUUCGGCAAUGGGGAAACCCUGACCGAGCGACGCCGCGUGGAGGAUGAAGGCCUUUGGGUUGUAAACUCCUGUCAUGUGGGAAGAAACGCCACCGUGCGAAUA
This 455-nucleotide ribosomal RNA is filed under the name uncultured bacterium. RNAcentral's name for it is "bacterial SSU rRNA". It matches the Rfam family "Bacterial small subunit ribosomal RNA", at positions 29 to 466 of the family's 1533-position model. The record is from RNAcentral.